Molecule: ribosomal RNA, 678 nt
Filed under: uncultured Lactobacillus sp.
Lineage: Bacteria; Bacillati; Bacillota; Bacilli; Lactobacillales; Lactobacillaceae
Description: bacterial SSU rRNA
Rfam family: Bacterial small subunit ribosomal RNA
Source: RNAcentral
GAGUUUGAUCCUGGUUCAGGACGAACGCUGGCGGCGUGCCUAAUACAUGCAAGUCGAACGCAUCCCGCUGAAUUGAAGUGCUUGCACUGAUUUUCAGCAUUGGAUGAGUGGCGAACUGGUGAGUAACACGUGGGUAACCUGCCCGGAAGCAGGGGAUAACACUUGGAAACAGGUGCUAAUACCGUAUAACAACUGAAACCGCAUGGUUUCAGUUUGAAAGAUGGUUUCGGCUAUCACUUCUGGAUGGACCCGCGGCGUAUUAGCUAGUUGGUGGAGUAAUGGUUCACCAAGGCAAUGAUACGUAGCCGACCUGAGAGGGUAAUCGGCCACAUUGGGACUGAGACACGGCCCAAACUCCUACGGGAGGCAGCAGUAGGGAAUCUUCCACAAUGGACGAAAGUCUGAUGGAGCAACGCCGCGUGAGUGAAGAAGGGUUUCGGCUCGUAAAACUCUGUUGUUGAAGAAGAACACAUCUGAGAGUAACUGUUCAGGUGUUGACGGUAUUUAACCAGAAAGCCACGGCUAACUACGUGCCAGCAGCCGCGGUAAUACGUAGGUGGCAAGCGUUGUCCGGAUUUAUUGGGCGUAAAGCGAGCGCAGGCGGUUUCUUAAGUCUGAUGUGAAAGCCUUCGGCUUAACCGGAGAAGUGCAUCGGAAACUGGGAGACUUGAGUGCAGA